Long non-coding RNA from Triticum dicoccoides, 890 nucleotides. RefSeq lists it as uncharacterized. The transcript is spliced from 7 exons. Lineage: Eukaryota; Viridiplantae; Streptophyta; Magnoliopsida; Poales; Poaceae. The record is from RefSeq and is a predicted model, not a curated record.
CGUCCCCUCGUUGCACUUGCCCCUCGCCGUCAUUCAACCCUAUCGUCCCUACCUACACGUAGAAUCGGACACCGCCGCUCAGCCCCUUCGCUGCCGCUAGCCGAUUUCAACGCCCCUCAACCCCUCCGCCGCCGCCAGCCGCGUUCAAAGCCAGGACAUGAUGAUCCCCAGGUCAGGACGAUCCCGUUGACAGGCCCUGAACUGGGUCCGCCAGAACCCGUAUGAUCCGGCGCUGAUCAUACGGAUCUGCGGGCGAUCCCGUAUGAUCCUACCCUGAUCGUCAGGAUCGGCUUGACCCUCUCAGGGUGACGCAUCUUCAGGUUGGCCACGUUUCUUUGACUCUCGUUGCAAGCGAAAUCUGCACAACGUUGAGUCAUCACAUAAGUGUUUAGUCAUCUCGGUGCUGGGGUCAUCAUAAACCGCAGAAGUCAACAUCAUCAGCAGAAAGUAGUGACAGAAACAAGAGGAAGGAAGGACAGAAUUGUGUUGAUUCAUCUCGGUGCGAGGGUCAUCAUUAACAGCAGCAGUCACCAGAAAAAGUAACAGAAACAAGAGGUGUGUAUGGGUAAUUCGAAAAGCAAGGCAGUUGAACCGCAACCAGAAGAGGACGUUACUACCAGCCUUUCAAGCGUGAAAAAUGUUGAACAUAACAAUGCAAGCAUCAUACCCGUAGCUCAAAGUGAUGAUGAAACGAAUGCUUCGGUUCCAGAAGGGACGUGUCCGGUUGGAGAGCACAAUGAGGCUUCGUUGUCGGCUCUGAGUACACUAACGGUGGAUUGUUGCACAGAUGAAUAUGUUACUAACUCAUCCCAAUUUAAUAUGCCAAGAGUGUUAGUUGCGUAUAUUUUCUCAUAUAUAUCAUUGGUUUUCUUUUCCUACGUGUUACAUGU